GUGAAUCAUCGAAUCUUUGAACGCAAAUUGCACUCCCUGGUAUUCCGGAGAGUAUGCCUAUUUGAGGGUCAUUUGAAAUAAUAUAAAUUCCUAGAUUUCUCGGAAUUUAAUAUGGGUUGUCUAUUUUUUGUGGUCGCUUUAAAUUCAAGACAAGAUCAUUUUCUUGGGUUGCGUGAUUUUUUACGUUAAUUAGUUAUUUAAUUAGGAUUUUCCGGGUGUGUUAUGAAUUUUGCAAGAGAUCAAAUAUUGUAUUG
RNAcentral lists this unclassified non-coding RNA (254 nucleotides) under Ambisporaceae sp. RNAcentral's name for it is "partial contains 5.8S ribosomal RNA and internal transcribed spacer 2". The stretch from base 1 to 71 matches the Rfam family "5.8S ribosomal RNA", at positions 84 to 154 of the family's 154-position model. Lineage: Eukaryota; Fungi; Glomeromycota; Glomeromycetes; Archaeosporales; Ambisporaceae. The record is from RNAcentral.